Molecule: small nucleolar RNA, 74 nt
Organism: Rana temporaria (common frog)
Lineage: Eukaryota; Metazoa; Chordata; Amphibia; Anura; Ranidae
Product: small nucleolar RNA SNORD19
Exons: 1
Source: RefSeq, a predicted model, not a curated record
GAGAAAUGAGGAAAACUGCAAAAAGUCUGAUGUCUUUGAUGACUGUCGGAUCCAACUCUGAUCUCAUUUAUUUA